This 253-nucleotide ribosomal RNA is filed under the name uncultured bacterium. Its description in RNAcentral is "partial 16S ribosomal RNA". It matches the Rfam family "Bacterial small subunit ribosomal RNA", at positions 524 to 776 of the family's 1533-position model. The record is from RNAcentral.
UACGGUGGGGGCAAGCGUUGUUCGGAAUUACUGGGCGUAAAGGGCGCGUAGGCGGCCAUCUAAGUCAGACGUGAAAUCCCUCGGCUCAACCGAGGAACUGCGUCUGAUACUGGAAGGCUUGAAUCCGGGAGAGGGAUGUGGAAUUCCAGGUGUAGCGGUGAAAUGCGUAGAUAUCGUAAGGAAGACCAGUGGCGAAGGCGGGUCUCUGGACAGUUCCUGACGCUGAGGCACGAAGGUCAGGGGAGCGAACAGG